CAUAGUAGUCUUGAUUGUGUUACUUCCCUUUGUUCUGAUUUAUAAACCUGAUAGGUGGCUCUAAUUUCAGGUCAAUAUAAUCAUUCGAAUUUUGUUACUCAUUUUUUUUUCACAUCCAUUGUAUUUUUUUUUUAAAAAUUGUUGUUAUACUAGACCAUAAAAAGGAACAAUGUUAGUAUUUCAAUUAAAUAAAUUGAAAAAAAUAAUGGAAACUUGAUGAAUUUCAAGACGAGGCUACAACAACGAUUUGUUUUCAAAUUCAAACAAAGACAAAGGAAGGACAUUAUGCACAUCAUAGAAGACAACUCGCAUAGUGAAAAACUGACACUUAAUUUUUGUGUGAUGACAAUUAGCUGAUAAGAUUGUAUACAUGAAAAACAGUCGACAGAAAACCCCAUUUGGACAUAAAAGAAUGAUAAGUGCAUGAAAUUAAGUUUCAAGGGAAAAAAACAAGUUGAACCUCAAAACAAGUUUGACACAGUGUCUUCGUAGAUGAAAAUAAUCAAGAUCCAGUGGUGGACGUUUAGUAUACCAGAAUUAUUCACAUGGAGGAGUAUAUCUCCAAAUGUAAUACUUUUAAGUUAGUUUUGAAAGAAUAAAGAUAAAAAAUACUUACUUUCUUUAAAUGUGAAUAUUUAUUUAUUGUUUUGUGUGUUACACUUAAUUUUGACAGAAAGGAAUAUUUUCCCUCACUUAUCCGAUUUGUUACUGAUGAAAUCAACAAGAAAGCUUUAUUUUCCAUGAUUUCCAUUUUCUAUGAGUUAUUUAAAAGAAAACCUUUUUAAACAUGUUGUAAACAUGAAUACUUUAAUUGACAUAUAUUGUAAUAGUUAAUGUAUACUGUAGACCUUUAAAUGAAAAUGAUUUGUUGACUGUUGUUUGUUAUAAUUUUGGAUUACAAAAUGUGUAUUAUUGUAUUGACUGAAAGAGGUCUGAUAAAUGUUGAACUUCAAUUUUGAAAAGCCAUGUAGCUCUUAUUUUUAAUUUUAAUAGUUUAUAUACAAUUUAUAAAUAUCAAACUUUAUUUUAUUACCACUAUAAAUGAUUAAAAGUGAGUCAUUUUUGUGACGUUAUACAAA
Molecule: long non-coding RNA, 1079 nt
Organism: Ruditapes philippinarum (Manila clam)
Lineage: Eukaryota; Metazoa; Mollusca; Bivalvia; Venerida; Veneridae
Exons: 3
Source: RefSeq, a predicted model, not a curated record